AGAGUUUGAUUAUGGCUCAGGAUGAACGCUAGCGGCAGGCUUAACACAUGCAAGUCGAGGGGCAGCGGGAGGAGUGCUUGCACUUCUUGCCGGCGACCGGCGCACGGGUGAGUAACACGUAUGCAACCUGCCUCCGUCAGGGGGACAACCCGGCGAAAGCCGGGCUAAUCCCGCGUAUAUUCCGUGAGGGCAUCCUUACGGAAGGAAAGGUUUCGGCCGGACGGGGAUGGGCAUGCGGCGCAUUAGGUAGUCGGGGGUGUAACGGACCACCGAGCCGACGAUGCGUAGGGGUUCUGAGAGGAAGGUCCCCCACACUGGUACUGAGACACGGACCAG
RNAcentral lists this ribosomal RNA (336 nucleotides) under uncultured bacterium. RNAcentral describes it as "bacterial SSU rRNA". It matches the Rfam family "Bacterial small subunit ribosomal RNA", at positions 8 to 334 of the family's 1533-position model. The record is from RNAcentral.